GACGAACGCUGGCGGCGUGCUUAACACAUGCAAGUCGAACGAUGAAGCCUUUCGGGGUGGAUUAGUGGCGAACGGGUGAGUAACACGUGGGCAAUCUGCCCUGUACUUUGGGAUAAGCCUUGGAAACGAGGUCUAAUACCGGAUAUGAUGAGUCCUCGCAUGGGGGUUUGUUGAAAGUCCCGGCGGUACAGGAUGAGCCCGCGGCCUAUCAGCUUGUUGGUGGGGUAAUGGCCUACCAAGGCGACGACGGGUAGCCGGCCCUGAGAGGGCGACCGGCCACACUGGGACUGAGACACGGCCCAGACUCCUACGGGAGGCAGCAGUGGGGAAUAUUGCACAAUGGGCGAAAGCCUGAUGCAGCGACGCCGCGUGAGGGAUGACGGCCU
Molecule: ribosomal RNA, 386 nt
Filed under: uncultured bacterium
Lineage: Bacteria
Description: bacterial SSU rRNA
Rfam family: Bacterial small subunit ribosomal RNA
Source: RNAcentral